UACGAAGGGGGCUAGCGUUGCUCGGAAUCACUGGGCGUAAAGCGCACGUAGGCGGAUAUUUAAGUCGAUUGUGAAAUCCCCGGGCUUAACCUGGGAACUGCAGUCGAUACUGAAUAUCUAGAGUAUGGUAGAGGAAAGUGGAACUCCCGGUGUAGCGGUGAAAUGCGUAGAUAUCGGGAAGAACACCAGUGGCGAAGGCGGCUUUCUGGACCAAUACUGACGCUGAGGUGCGAAAGCGUGGGGAGCAAACAGG
RNAcentral lists this ribosomal RNA (253 nucleotides) under uncultured bacterium. RNAcentral's name for it is "partial 16S ribosomal RNA". It matches the Rfam family "Bacterial small subunit ribosomal RNA", at positions 524 to 776 of the family's 1533-position model. The record is from RNAcentral.